UUUCCUUGUAGUUUUGUUGAGGUGUGUAGCAAGCAACAGCCCAUCCACUGCCACAUACAUAAUAUACAUGGAUAAAUGGGCAAAGCCGCAGGAGUUCAACGACCACGAUCACUGGUAUUCAUCAAUGAUUAAAUCAGCAAUCAACAAAGAAGUCGGCGGCGGGAUAAAUGCAUGAUGGUGGUUAAAACAUGAAUAGAAAAGCAGCGGUGGAAUAAACGCAGGGAGGUUCACGAUGAUACCUCCAGGCUCCACGCACGUCGGCGUUUGAUCUUGAGCUUACGCCGCUGCGACUUCACACUCCGCUGAAACCUUCGAGCCGUUUGGAGUCUCCGCUGUCGGUUCUCGCCUUCGAUACCCGCGGUUCGCUGCGACUCGUUGCUAUCAAGGAUCGGCGAGUAAGCUGCCGUUAACUCGCUAACACUGUCGUCAUCUGGGGUCUCCGCUGUCGUCUCUUGCCUUCGACACACUCACGACCAGCAAUGCUCACCAUAGCUGCUACUCACUGCCAAUAUCGUCCCGACUGCUGCUGUCAUCUAAUGCCGCAAAAGAUGAACCAAGUCGCCGAUUGU
RNAcentral lists this long non-coding RNA (569 nucleotides) under Salvia miltiorrhiza (redroot sage). Its description in RNAcentral is "long non-coding RNA (SMIL_LNC002171)". The record is from RNAcentral. Lineage: Eukaryota; Viridiplantae; Streptophyta; Magnoliopsida; Lamiales; Lamiaceae.